Alosa alosa (allis shad) is the source of this 2511-nucleotide long non-coding RNA. RefSeq lists it as uncharacterized. The record is from RefSeq and is a predicted model, not a curated record. The transcript is spliced from 2 exons. NCBI's taxonomy places the organism in Eukaryota, Metazoa, Chordata, Actinopteri, Clupeiformes, Clupeidae.
AAAAUAGCUUUUAAAAAGUAGAAAACAUACAUCCCAUAUUUACUUAUUUUAGUAUACUGUAUGCAUGAAAUAAAGCUACAAAACAAUUACUUACAUAUCACCAUCGUCACCAUGACAACCAAAGUUUGCGCCACUGAACCGGACAGUGGUUAAGAACAUUGGUUCCGCAAGGGCUCCGGUUUCCCCACGGACCAUUCUGAUGGAACACCCAUUGGCAGCGGUGAGUGAGAAAUGUUUGUUUGUAGUGCAGUGAACUAUUGUGUUGCGAGUGGAAUAUAGAACGAGACAACUGGUACCUGCGUUGCUCGCAACGAUGGAGGGGGAAGAGGAGGAGGAGGAGGUCAGGAGCACCUUGAUGAUCCACCGCCUGUGAAAUGAGGAUGAAUAUUUCAUUUGACGAGACAUUAACACAGUCCUGAAAGUGUUUAGCCUUGCUGCACACAUAAACAGGGAAGGGGAGGGGGUGGUGACAAGCAGACACACAUAUACACACACAAAUAUAUAUACAUAUACGCACCUGGUUCCUGGAGACGGCUUAAAUACAGGGAUUAAAUAUAUAUGUCUGCCUUUAUGCACCCCUCCUCUCCCCCUCUUACUUGGCUCUGCUGUCUUGGUGUCUCAUUUUGAACACACACACACACACACACACACACACACACACACACACACACACACACACACACCAGUUGCAGCAGCAGAGCCACACAUCUAGUCCAUGUGUGACUCAUCUCUUUCCUGGGUUUCUGGGAGUUUCCUGAUUUGCAGCCCUGGGGCAUUAUGUGGUGAGUUCUCCUGCCCCGUCCACUGGCCCCUCUAACUGGCCCUUAAGCAAGCGCCUAAUUCCCACCAAUCACGUCCCUUUUAGUCUGGGAGCGAAAGAAAUCACCUCCCUUUGAUUGGCCCCAAAUCAAUGGAUUUUCUGCAAAGCACCGGUGCGUAACGAGAGUAAAGAGAGCUGCUGAUGGAGCUGCUGAUGGAGCUUCUGAACUCCCAUCUCUAUCACUCUGCCAGGAAGAAGCUCCGAGAUAACCGCGAAACGCAGCCAGGAGAGCCAAGUGUUAUUCAGUAGGCUUUCUACAGUUUUGAUUAAUUGGGUAAACAGAGAUAGGACAAGAGGGGAGAGAGAGAGAGAGAGAGAGGGAAAGAGAGAAAAAGAGAGAAAGAGUUAGAGAGAGAGAGAGUGGAAGGGAGGUGGAGGAGAAGAGGGGACAGAGAGAGGUCAGUAUCUGAUUAACAUUUGACUGAAAGGGCAAGGCUAGUCAUCAACCUGAUACAUUCAUCUAGAGGGCCCAUGUAUGUCCAGUCUAGUACAUGAACUGUGAAUAAUAACAUUAAUGUAGCUUAUAGUAACACUCAUAUUAUUUGUUUAUCAGUGCAUGUAUGGACAUUGAGUACAAGUUCAAUCAGAUCAAUCAUUAACACUUACCCCUAAUAGGACACAUGAGAGGAAAAGGCCCAUAGAAAACAUCCUCCCCCAAUCAGAGCAAGAGGAUGGUUUAACAUGUUGGAGAUGACAAGUGCGUGUGCCGUUUCACACACACACACACACACAUACGCACACACACACACAAACACACACACACUCGCACACACACACGCACACACACACACUGUUUAACCUUAUGUCUUGAUAAGCUGGCACAGGCACCUGCACCUUUGGAGGGGAUAUAAUUUGAUAUCCUGGGUGCUCCAAUCCCUCCAUUGCUGGCACAGCAAGCAGGUUUCAGUUUUUGCAUUCCUGGCAUAACCAGGCAAACAAACGCCACCACUGGUUCAGACCGAGCAAAGGCGCAAUAUGAUGAUAACACUGUAGCCACCGAGUUUCUGCACAGCAGUGGGGGGACUGGCUCAUCUCUGGAGAGCUGAUCUUGUGCCACAAUCAGGUUUCUGCACAUCCCCUACUUCUACAGGUUCCUGCAGUUAAUGACUUAUCUCUACACAUCGGCGCCGGGUUGCCGGGCAACAGCAUAAUCAAGUAUUUUUCAACAAUCAUAACAGGGGGGAUGCCUGGAAAAAGAUUAGAGGAGGGUUUUUUCAGGGAAAUCAAUACGGUUUCUCAGAAAGUAAUAUUGAUCCCACAAUAUUGCAGAUGAUGUUUUGCAAAUCAGUAAUUUCAUAUAACAAAGCUGCAGCUGUAUUUUGUGUAGACGGUUUCAAAGGGCAGUGAAUAUUUUCAGCUGUCGUGUUUGUGGUGGCAGACACUCUUCUUUAGGUUCAAUCAUGUUUAAAACAUAUAUCUUCUCAGGCUCAGUAAACAUGCAAACACAGACACAGAGAGAGAGAGAGAGACACACACACACACACACACACACACACAUACACAAGCACACAAUAUAGUAACACACAAAUGCCCUUCCAUGCUUACAUGUGGAAACCGCACAGAAACUAAGAAAUACAGGAGAGGAGACACGAGAUCAAAAGGCAGUGGGAAGUGAAUCACCUGUAAAUUUCUCCUCAUCAAGGUCUGUUGAAAAGGGGUUUUCUAUGAAUAAAGAAUGUGCAUGAAAACUG